UGUAGUGUAAUGUAGUGUUGUGCAGUGUAUCGUCUGUCUGCUCUCACUGCUCACUUUAUGUGGUCAGGACCACUUCCUGUUCAGCUCUACACAGCUGUUCCUGUUCAGCUCUACACAGCUGAAAUGACAAUAAAAGCUUCUGGACUGAAUAGAGUGCUGUCGCUGACGUGUCUUAACUGCCUUAAUGAUCAAUGUAUUAAUAUUAACUGUCCAGACCAGUGUGCCAGUCUAACUCUGUUUGUAAUGAACAAUGGCAACAAUAUAAGCGCUGUUUUAAAGACUUGUGCAGCACCGGGCAUUUGUUCACCUAUGACUGCAAACCUGGGAGAAACAAUAACAACCACCAAUGCCAUGUGCUGCAACACUACAUUAUGCAACAAUGAAACACUGCCAGUUCUUCCUGUUCCUUUGCCCAACGGGAGGAUCUGUUACACCUGUAUCAAAAACGACUGCACACAAUCAGUGGAUUGUAGAGGAAAUGAAGACAGGUGUGUUACUGGGACAGGUACAAUAUUAGGCACUACAGCGACCGUGAAAGGAUGUGUAGGUAAAUCUUCCUGCAAUGGUACUCAAUCAGUAAUCUCAGUGGGAAAUAGCACUGUAAGUGUUCAGUGUUGUACAGGAAACCUGUGUAACAGUGCUGAGAUCUUCACCCUGAGCUUCCUCCUCAUGAUCAUCUCUCUACACUCCUCCAUGUUCUUCUCCUGAACACUGAUCGAGUAGUUCACUAAAAGCAGUAUGCAGAAGACAGAUGUUUUUUUUAUUUUUUAUUUAAUUUAAGCUUCACCUCUGCUGUAUUGCAUCAUCACAUAUAACGUAUUCGCCAUAUGUACAUUACUGAGCUUUUCAUGGUCUGUAGUUUGUAUAUCUCUUUAUUUCGUUUUUCCCACUUGUGUUAUACAGAAUCUGCAAGAAAUAAACUGAUGCAUAUUCAUUUUGCCUUUCUUUCUUUUUUUUUUAACUGUGAUUACUGAACUACACUUCGAUUACUUCUAUCUUGACCAAAUGCUGUUAUUUCCUGUUAAAUUUUUCAAACAAAGGAGGCAUGAGUUACUGGUUUUGAUUAACAUUUGAUCGAAUAUUUGUACAAGGAGCAGUAAUGUUUUACUUCCUUCAUUGUUCUUAAAUACAUCAAACAUCAGUAACUGGUUAUGAGUUUAUAAUACAGAACAAUAAUAUGGCAUAUUGUUUUAUUAGAAUUCUUUAUGUAAGCAUUGUUAUUCUGUACCAAAUUAUUAUUUCUUAUAUUUUAAGUUAUUAUUUUUUUGUUAUUUUCACAUACAAUCACACUACAUUCUCUGGGUCAAACUUGAUUAUUGUAUCUUGUUCAUAAGAGAUUUUACUUUUACUAUAUGUAAAGAUUAACCCGAAUUUCAAAUCAGUUCAUUUUAAUAUGUAAAUGUUGAAAAACGAAAGCAGCCGAUGUACUUAAGGCAGAUUACUCCAAAUAGUGUUCAAAAACCUGGCAGGUUUAACCUAUUAACUUUCUACAGAACGUAGGAUACUAAUAUAAAAUAUAAUAGUAACCAAAUAUAAAACAUUCUGUACAACAAAGAAAUAAGAAAACAAACAACUGAACCACUAGAUGCUGCUGAUGAACUGAUCAGGUUUUGUGUACAGACUGCUGAACGGCCGAUCGGCUGAUUGUAGGUGAUGUAGAUUCUAGAAUUAGAAAUGUAGAUUCUAUACACCAAAUUUCAGCUUUAUCAUCUUACAGUUAACUAGAAACAGAUGCAUAAAUGAAAUCAACUCCUCAUACAACAGUCAUUAAUUCGGAUGUAACGACCUUCAAACUGAAGCUGAGAGCCUUCAACUUUAACUACAAUUCUAUUAUUCUAAAUAGUACUCAGCUAAAAUAAGAAUUUUAUCAAUGUACAUCUGAGGUCUGAAUUUAACUUCUCAGUUCUGAUUUUCUUUAACUUUUAUAUGUCUGCAAAGGCAACUCUAAGUUUUCAGUAGACUGAAGACAUUUGUUUUUUGAGAUUGUGUGGCAGCAUUUUAAAUAAAUGCAAAUCAACAUGUUAAUCAUUGUGGAACAUUUCUCUAAUAAUCCUGACUAGUGAGUUCCUGGAAACACAAAGUUAACUACCUCCAUUUAUAAUGAAAUGAAACUUAUGGUAAAGGUUGUGGGUUGUGAAAUAAACUUCCCCUUCUAUAUAACUGAGCAUAACCAUAAAAACCAGGCUUUGUUUCAGAACGUUGCUCUUUAACUUCAUCUGCUUCUUCUUCAGAUGCUUUUCUCCAAAGCCAUGUCACUGAAUUGUUAUCAGUGUUUGCUGUCACUAACUGGCGCGUGUACCAAUGAACAGAUAACCUGUUCAGAUCAGUGUGCCUCUUCAACUAUGUCUGUUUACACGGGUAAGUGUGUGUGUGUGUGUGUGUGUGUGUGUGUGUGUGUGUGUGUGUGUGUGUGUGUGUGUGUGUGUGUGUAUGAGCAGCAUGGUGUCUCCGAGCACGACGCUGUUUGAGAGUCUGAGUCGCAGGCACGGUGUGAGGGUGGUGUGCUAGUGAUGGAAGAUGUGGUGGGACAUGAGAACAUUGUCUCUGCCUCCAGCAUGAACAGUGCAAUUGUUGUAUUCUUGAAUCAGGUGAAUAAAGUAAAUAAAC
Tachysurus fulvidraco (yellow catfish) is the source of this 2607-nucleotide RNA transcript. It is a transcript of the gene named urokinase plasminogen activator surface receptor-like, with no coding region annotated. The transcript has 6 exons. The record is from RefSeq and is a predicted model, not a curated record. NCBI's taxonomy places the organism in Eukaryota, Metazoa, Chordata, Actinopteri, Siluriformes, Bagridae.